RNAcentral lists this ribosomal RNA (395 nucleotides) under uncultured bacterium. RNAcentral describes it as "partial 16S ribosomal RNA". It matches the Rfam family "Bacterial small subunit ribosomal RNA", at positions 523 to 918 of the family's 1533-position model. The record is from RNAcentral.
AUACGUAGGGUGCAAGCGUUAAUCGGAAUUACUGGGCGUAAAGCGUGCGCAGGCGGUUUUGUAAGGCCGAGGUGAAAUCCCCGGGCUCAACCUGGGAACUGCCUUUGAGACUGCAAGGCUAGAGUACGGCAGAGGGGGAUGGAAUUCCGCAUGUAGAAGUGAAAGGCGUAGAUAUGCGGAGGAACACCGAUGGCGAAGGCAAUCCACUGGGACUGUACUUACGCUCACGCACGAAGACGUUGGGAGCAAACAGGGUUUGAUCGCCUGGUAGUCGACGCCCUAACCGAUGUCUACUAGUUGUUGGUUCUUCAUUGACUCAGUUACGUAGCUAACGCGUGAAGUUUACCGCCUGGGGAGUACGGCCGCAAGGUUGAAACUCAAAUGAAUUGACGGGG